UUUCCGUAGGUGAACCUGCGGAAGGAUCAUUAUUGUAUAACCGAGGUGCGAGGGCUGUCGCUGACCCGAAAGUUCGUGCACGCCCGAGUGCCCUCACACACAUCCAUCUCACCCCUAUGUGCACCACCGCGUGGGUCCCCCUUUGGCUUGUUCGGAGGGGGGCUUACGUGUUCACACAAACUUUGUAUGCAGUGUAGAAUGUAUUUUUUGUUUUUGCGAUCACGCAAUCAAUACAACUUUCAACAACGGAUCUCUUGGUUCUG
RNAcentral lists this unclassified non-coding RNA (263 nucleotides) under plant metagenome. Its description in RNAcentral is "partial contains small subunit ribosomal RNA, internal transcribed spacer 1, and 5.8S ribosomal RNA". The record is from RNAcentral.